This 348-nucleotide ribosomal RNA is filed under the name uncultured bacterium. RNAcentral describes it as "bacterial SSU rRNA". It matches the Rfam family "Bacterial small subunit ribosomal RNA", at positions 329 to 675 of the family's 1533-position model. The record is from RNAcentral.
GGCCAGACUCCUACGGGAGGCAGCAGUGAGGAAUAUUGGUCAAUGGCCGUAAGGCUGAACCAGCCAAGUCGCGUGAGGGAAGACUGCCCUAUGGGUUGUAAACCUCUUUUAUGCGGGGAUAAAGGUGUCCACGUGUGGAUGUUUGCAGGUACCGCAUGAAUAAGGACCGGCUAAUUCCGUGCCAGCAGCCGCGGUAAUACGGAAGGUCCGGGCGUUAUCCGGAUUUAUUGGGUUUAAAGGGUGCGCAGGCGGAAGAGCAAGUCAGGGGUAAAAGUGAGGGGCUCAACCUCUGCGAGCCGUUGAAACUGGUUUUCUUGGGUGAGUGAGAAGUAUGCGGAAUGCGUGGUG